CACGCUGCGACCCGAGGAGGCGGCCGGGCGGCAGCGGGCCGGGGCGGCCCCGGGGCUCCGAGCGCCGCCUCAGCUUCUGCGACUCCCCUUGUCCCCCCUUGGAAUCGUGCUGAGGGAUCUGGAGACGUCCUAGAGAGGUCUGGGGGCAUCCAGGGGGUUCUGGACUCAUGCAGAAGUGUCUGGAGAUGUCCAAGGAGGAUCCAGGGAGUCCCCAGGCCUGCCUGCAGCCGGACCCGGUGACACCGGAGCCCUCCCUCUGGCGCUGUCACCAUCCUCUGUCCCGAGGACGGGAGGUGAACUCUGUGCCACCAGCAGAGGGGACCACGGGUGACAUCAGUGUGGAACAGCCGUGACGCGGCGGCGUUGUCAUUGGGUGUCACCGUCACGCAGAGGGGACAAAAGGACCCCCCUGGGGGCAUUGCGUCGAAGUUGGGGACACCGUGAGCAGCUUGAGGACUUCCCAGGGGAAGUGGGGGCACCGCGUCACCGUGUCACACCCCAAAGUUGGGGACGCCCCCACAGUGUCACACCCCAAAGUUGGGGGCACCCCUGUAGUUUCACACCCCGAAGUUGGAAAAACCCCCACAGUGUCACACCCCAAAGUUGGGGACACCUCUGUGUCACCCCAAUGGUGUCCGACCCAAAGCUGGGGACACUCCACAGUGUCACACCCCAAAGUUGGGGACGCCCCGACAGUGUCACAUCUCAAAUUUGGGACAGCUCUGUGUCCCCCCAAUGGUGUCAGACCCCAAAGUUGGGGACGCCCCCACAGUGUCACAGCCCAAAGUUGGGGUCUGUCCCAGAGGUGGGAGUGCCCCCACAUCCCCACCAUGGCGUCACAUCCCAAAGUUGGGGACCCCUCUGGGGACCCAUUCAGUGCGUCCCCCAUUGCAGACCGCACUGUUCCCAUGGGGUGGGGGCGGGGAGCACCCUUUAUUUUUGGGAUUAAAGUUUAUUUCGUGAUAAAGGG
Molecule: long non-coding RNA, 970 nt
Filed under: Gallus gallus (chicken)
Lineage: Eukaryota; Metazoa; Chordata; Aves; Galliformes; Phasianidae
Source: RNAcentral